Non-coding RNA from Manacus vitellinus (golden-collared manakin), 414 nucleotides. The record is from the annotation of a RefSeq genome assembly. Lineage: Eukaryota; Metazoa; Chordata; Aves; Passeriformes; Pipridae.
AUGCGGCUCUGACGUGGAGCGGGGCUGGCGGUGCUGGCCGCGGUUCUGCUCGUGUCUGCAGGCAGAGCCCAGGUGCAGCAGGACCCGUUGGCAGAGACCACCGAGGGCAGUGAAAUCACCAUCAAAUGCUCACACGCCAACCUACGAAUCCAUGAUUUUAUCCAUUUCUACCGGCAGCUGCCGGGCCACAGCCCCGAGCUCCUGGCACGCGCUGCUAAAGGGUCCGGAGAGCUGCGUGCGCCAGUGGGGCGGCUCUCGGUGUCGGCAGACCGUCGUUGGACGGUCCUCUGGCUCUCCGGGUCCAGUGCUGGGGAAGCGGUGCUGUAUUGCUGCACCCUGGCGGACACGGAUUCAUUGACACCGUCGUCUUUGGAGCUCUCAGGGGAUUUUCUCAGAAAUACAAAAAUGGGGUAG